GCACUACUGAUGAGUCCCAAUACUAGGACGAAACGGCCGUCCAGUAC
This is a non-coding RNA of Schistosoma margrebowiei, 47 nucleotides long. NCBI's taxonomy places the organism in Eukaryota, Metazoa, Platyhelminthes, Trematoda, Strigeidida, Schistosomatidae. The record is from Rfam.